GGAGGAGUGGCCGAGCGGUCGAAGGCAGCGGUUUUGAAAACGCGCGCCCGACCCCGAAUGCGCUCCUCCG
Molecule: transfer RNA, 70 nt
Filed under: Sorangium cellulosum So0157-2
Lineage: Bacteria; Pseudomonadati; Myxococcota; Polyangiales; Polyangiaceae
Description: tRNA-Ser (TGA) (tRNA-Ser-TGA-2-1)
Source: RNAcentral